UCUAAGCUCUGCCCCUCUGAGGAAU
RNAcentral lists this non-coding RNA (25 nucleotides) under Mus musculus (house mouse). Lineage: Eukaryota; Metazoa; Chordata; Mammalia; Rodentia; Muridae. The record is from RNAcentral.